This 464-nucleotide unclassified non-coding RNA is filed under the name Hevea brasiliensis (rubber tree). Lineage: Eukaryota; Viridiplantae; Streptophyta; Magnoliopsida; Malpighiales; Euphorbiaceae. The record is from RNAcentral.
GGCAAUGAACAAUGCAGGAUAUCUUGAUUCAAAUCUCAUUAUCAUAUUGAAUGACAAUGAGCAAGUUUCUUUGCCUACUGCGACUGUGGAUGGUCCUGCACCUCCAGUUGGUGCUCUGAGCAAAGCCUUAACAAAGCUACAAUCAAGCAGGAAGCUUCGCCAGCUGCGUGAAGCUGCAAAGGGCAUCACAAGGCAAAUUGGAGGGCAAACGCAUGAAAUGGCAGCUAAGGUGGACUCUUAUGUGAGGGGAAUGGUGGGUGGUUCUGGGACCUGUUUGUUUGAAGAACUAGGAUUAUACUAUAUUGGUCCAGUUGAUGGCCACAGCGUGGAAGACCUUGUCUACAUAUUAGGCAAAGUCAAGGCCAUGCCUGCACCAGGACCCGUUCUUAUUCAUGUUAUUACUGAGAAAGGCAAAGGCUAUUCUCCAGCUGAAAUUGCACCUGAUAAGAUGCAUGGUGUUGUGA